GCGUGUAGCAGUGAAAUGCGUAGAUAUGCGGAGGAACACCGAUGGCGAAGGCAAUCCCCUGGACCUGUACUGACGCUCAUGCACGAAAGCGUGGGGAGCAUACAGGAUUAGAUACCCUGGUAGUCCACGCCCUAAACGAUGUCAACUAGCUGUUGGGGCCUUCGGGCUUUAGUAGCACAGCUAACGCGUGAAGUUGACCGCCUGGGGAGUACGGUCGCAAGAUUAAAACUCAAAGGAAUUGACGGGGACCCGCACAAGCGGUGGAUGAUGUGGAUUAAUUCGAUGCAACGCGAAAAACCUUACCUACCCUUGACAUGUCUGGAAUCCCGAAGAGAUUUGGGAGUGCUCGCAAGAGAACUGGAACACAGGUGCUGCAUGGCUGUCGUCAGCU
Molecule: ribosomal RNA, 391 nt
Filed under: uncultured Pseudomonadota bacterium
Lineage: Bacteria; Pseudomonadati; Pseudomonadota
Description: bacterial SSU rRNA
Rfam family: Bacterial small subunit ribosomal RNA
Source: RNAcentral